CCCGCAGCCAUGAGCAACGACCAGCCCAAGCCACCCAACAAAGGAAAGUUAGAGAAGACUGUAACGAAAGUUUUGCCGCAGUUGGAUAAGAUCAACUGUAAACCGCAAUGGCAUUUAACUCCCCCCUCGUUCCAGCUGCGGGAAGAAAUGGAGACUCACGUUCCAGAGGAGUUUAGGUUAAAAAACGAGAUGACACCCGG
This is a long non-coding RNA of Heteronotia binoei (common prickly gecko), 200 nucleotides long. RefSeq lists it as uncharacterized. The record is from RefSeq and is a predicted model, not a curated record. The transcript has 3 exons. NCBI's taxonomy places the organism in Eukaryota, Metazoa, Chordata, Lepidosauria, Squamata, Gekkonidae.